Small nuclear RNA from Heterocephalus glaber (naked mole-rat), 141 nucleotides. Its record names the gene U2. It matches the Rfam family "U2 spliceosomal RNA". Rfam says of the family: U2 is a small nuclear RNA (snRNA) component of the spliceosome (involved in pre-mRNA splicing). Complementary binding between U2 snRNA (in an area lying towards the 5' end but 3' to hairpin I) and the branchpoint sequence (BPS) of the intron results the bulging out of an unpaired adenosine, on the BPS, which initiates a nucleophilic attack at the intronic 5' splice site, thus starting the first of two transesterification reactions that mediate splicing. The record is from Ensembl. NCBI's taxonomy places the organism in Eukaryota, Metazoa, Chordata, Mammalia, Rodentia, Bathyergidae.
AUUGCUUCUUGGCCUUUUGGCUAAGAUCAAGUGUAGAGAUGGAAAUUAUAACUUGUUUAGAUUUUUGUCCUUCUCAGAAGGGCCAUGUCACCCAUUAAUCACCUCCUGUGAAUACAAGGACCACUGAGAGGAGUAGCAUGU